Molecule: ribosomal RNA, 253 nt
Filed under: uncultured bacterium
Lineage: Bacteria
Description: partial 16S ribosomal RNA
Rfam family: Bacterial small subunit ribosomal RNA
Source: RNAcentral
GAUCCUGGCUCAGGAUGAACGCUAGCUACAGGCUUAACACAUGCAAGUCGAGGGGCAGCAUUUUAGUUUGCUUGCAAACUAAAGAUGGCGACCGGCGCACGGGUGAGUAACACGUAUCCAACCUGCCGAUAACUCGGGGAUAGCCUUUCGAAAGAAAGAUUAAUAUCCGAUAGUAUAUUUUCUCCGCAUGGCGAGAAUAUUAAAGAAUUUCGGUUAUCAAUGGGGAUGCGUUCCAUUAGUUUGUUGGCGGGGG